Molecule: long non-coding RNA, 1648 nt
Filed under: Vulpes vulpes (red fox)
Lineage: Eukaryota; Metazoa; Chordata; Mammalia; Carnivora; Canidae
Description: lncRNA (ENSVVUG00000024913.1)
Source: RNAcentral
UACACCCCUCUACAGCCCCCUUCCGGCUGCCAUGGCAACGCCCUGGAGAGCUAGGACCAGGCCUUCUAUUUCUUCCCUACACCCCACCUCCCCAACCUCUUUGCUUCUCCACCAGCGUGGAUCCCGCAGUAGGUGAUGUUUUGAAACACUGAUGGAUUGAGAGUUUGGGGUUUCAUUUGCCCCCAUCUGCAGAAUUGGAAUGACAGGAACAUGCCUUGCUCCCCAUUGCCAUCACCCAUCUUCCCCUAAAGGCCAGAGAUUUGUGAAGCCUAUAGAUUGACUAAAAGAUACUUCAAAUCUCCACUGAAUGCUGGAGCUCAAUCUACCUGAGAACUUGCAUGCUGCUUUCUUCAAUGAGGUGAAUGUGAGAGCACAAUAAAUUAUAUUCAAAUGGCAGUCAUGGAGGAAACUUUCCUUUCCUUCCUCAUCCACAAAGCUGAUCGAUGGGCGCUAAAGCCCCGGGGAAGCAGCAUCUGUUGUAACUCAAGGAUCCCCACUCGAGCUGAGGAUGAAAUGAACAGACGCGGAGCAGUUUGCAGCUCAACAUUUGUUCAAGUCUGGCACAUGCACACAUCAUUAGCAACUCUACUGGAGGAGCAAGAUCAAGGAGGUGCUCGGAAGGGAAUCCUGCAAGCCAGGAUGGGUUGACAAUCUGGAUUUCACACUGCCUGACUCAUACCCGAAGUGCUAUGACAUUUGGUUUCUGUCCUUGGCUGGACCAGAGACCCUCCCCAGGUUCCUUCUUCCUUAGCGAGAGAGCUUCUCCCCAGACCUGGUGUUUACAGUUUGGGAGAGGAUGGCCAUGGAGAAAGUGACAUCUUGAAGUAGGGGAAGGAAUGAGCUUUGAGGGCAUCCAGGGGAAAGGAAUUUCAGAAAUGUAGGAUGAGUUCAAAGAAUCUGAGGUAGAAGAGUACCUAGCCUGGUGGCAAAUGUGCCAAGAAGGGAGUAUAUAAAAUGCAGAGAAGAGACUAAGACAAAGGCCUAGUCUGCAGUUCGUGUAGGGUGAGAAGUGUGGAUCGCAGAGCGCCUUCCACCCUUUUUGAGAUUCCACAUCCAGACAUCUGCUCUAUUUGUUGACUCUAAGCUCAUGUCCCAGAUCUACUAAUUGGUCUGUCCCUGGGUCCCUAAGACCAAUUUUCCGCUCUGCACUCAGACUUGCUGUUGAUGUCCUGGCCUCAAACCCUGUCUUUGAAACCCGCCCUGUGACCUGGUCUUUCCCAGCUGCCACCAAGGAAUGGGGACCUGAGUUCUGGUCUGGGCUAGACAGUGCUGCCAGCUGAAAAUGUGUGGGGAGCACAGGCACCAUGAGGAAGAGAGACAAGAGCAAGGAAUCCAUCUUUCAAUCCCUGUACUCACUGGUCUUCAAAAAUGGCAUGACUUUUCCUCAGAGGUCUUUGAGCUUGUGAGUCUUCAUCUUCAAACAUACCUCCCCUAUUUUGUGUAUCUAACUUGUUCUCUUGUUCACUCAGAAAAUGAGUGGUCUUCAAAUGUCGUCCACCUGAGGUAAGGUGGCCACCUCCUCUGCCCCGCUAUCCACUUACCCAACUGAAUGUCUUCACAUAUAUGGAUGUGUUUAUUCUCUCUCUCUUCUUGAAAAUGAACUUGAGGAGAGUAAGGAUUUUAUCUAAAAUCCCACCAACAGCAGGUG